AAUCAACGCUGGCGGCGUGCCUCAGACAUGCAAGUCGAACGCGAAAGUUUCCUUCGGGGAACAAGUAGAGUGGCGCACGGGUGAGUAACACGUAGGUAAUCUACCUUUGGAUGGGGAAUAACAACCGGAAACGGUUGCUAAUACCGCAUAAUGCAGCGGCACCUAAUGGUGACAGUUGCUAAAGCGGGGGAUCGAAAGACCUCGCGUCUGAAGAGGAGCCUGCGGCGGAUUAGCAGUUGGUAAGGUAAUGGCUUACCAAGGCUACGAUCCGUAACCGGCCUGAGAGGGCGGUCGGUCACACUGACACUGACAUACGGGUCAGACUCCUACGGGAGGCAGCAGUCGGGAAUUUUGGGCAAUGGGCGAAAGCCUGACCCAGCAACGCCGCGUGAAGGAUGAAAUCCCUCGGGAUGUAAACUU
RNAcentral lists this ribosomal RNA (420 nucleotides) under uncultured bacterium. RNAcentral's name for it is "bacterial SSU rRNA". It matches the Rfam family "Bacterial small subunit ribosomal RNA", at positions 32 to 432 of the family's 1533-position model. The record is from RNAcentral.